This 254-nucleotide ribosomal RNA is filed under the name uncultured bacterium. Its description in RNAcentral is "partial 16S ribosomal RNA". It matches the Rfam family "Bacterial small subunit ribosomal RNA", at positions 524 to 776 of the family's 1533-position model. The record is from RNAcentral.
CACGUAGGGACCGAGCGUUGUCCGGAUUUAUUGGGCGUAAAGAGCUCGUAGGCGGUUCAGCAAGUCGGGUGUGAAAACUCUGGGCUCAACCCAGAGACGCCACCCGAUACUGCUGUGACUAGAGUCCGGUAGGGGAGUGGGGAAUUCCUGGUGUAGCGGUGAAAUGCGCAGAUAUCAGGAGGAACACCGGUGGUGAAGGCGCCACUCUGGGCCGGCACUGACGCUGAGGAGCGAAAGCGUGGGUAGCAAACAGG